RNAcentral lists this non-coding RNA (26 nucleotides) under Mus musculus (house mouse). The record is from RNAcentral. Lineage: Eukaryota; Metazoa; Chordata; Mammalia; Rodentia; Muridae.
UCCAGGGGUNUGUUAGAGGCAGGAGG